Molecule: ribosomal RNA, 484 nt
Filed under: uncultured bacterium
Lineage: Bacteria
Description: bacterial SSU rRNA
Rfam family: Bacterial small subunit ribosomal RNA
Source: RNAcentral
GAGAUUUUCGCAAUGCCCGAAAGGGUGACGAAGCGACGCCGCGUGCGGGAAGAAGGCCUUCGGGUUGUAAACCGCUGUCGGGAGUUAAGAAAUGCAAGGAUGUUAAUAGCAUCUUUGCUUGACUAAGGCUCCGGAGGAAGCCACGGCUAACUCUGUGCCAGCAGCCGCGGUAAUACAGAGGCGGCAAGCGUUGUUCGGAAUUAUUGGGCGUAAAGAGCACGUAGGCGGCUAUGUAAGUCGGUUGUGAAAGCCUUCCGCUCAACGGGAGAACAGCAUCCGAUACUGCAUGGCUUGAGUGCGGGAGGGGAGAGUGGAACUUCUGGUGGAGCGGUGAAAUGCGCAGAUAUCAGAAGGAACGCCGGCGGCGAAAGCGGCUCUCUGGCCCAUAACUGACGCUGAGUGUGCGAAAGCUAGGGGAGCAAACGGGAUUAGAUACCCCGGUAGUCCUAGCCGUAAACGAUGGGCACUAAGUAGAGGGGUUUUA